RNAcentral lists this ribosomal RNA (255 nucleotides) under uncultured bacterium. Its description in RNAcentral is "partial 16S ribosomal RNA". It matches the Rfam family "Bacterial small subunit ribosomal RNA", at positions 524 to 777 of the family's 1533-position model. The record is from RNAcentral.
UACAGAGGGGGCAAGCGUUUAUUCGGAAUUAUUGGGCGUAAAGGGCGCGUAGGCGGCAUGGCAAGUGGAUGGUGAAAUCCCUCGGCUUAACCGAGGAACUGCCGUCCAAACUGCUUCGCUUGAGACCGGGAGAGGUGAGUGGAAUUCCCAGUGUAGCGGUGAAAUGCGUAGAUAUUGGGAGGAACACCAGUGGCGAAGGCGGCUCACUGGACCGGUACUGACGCUGAUGCGCGAAAGCGUGGGGAGCAAACGGGG